GGAGGGAUGGCCGAGCGGCUGAAGGCGCGCGCCUGGAAAGCGCGUAUACGUUAACCGCGUAUCGGGGGUUCGAAUCCCCCUCCCUCCGCCA
This 91-nucleotide transfer RNA is filed under the name Rhodospirillaceae bacterium. RNAcentral's name for it is "tRNA-Ser". It matches the Rfam family "tRNA". From Rfam's summary of the family: Transfer RNA (tRNA) molecules are approximately 80 nucleotides in length. Their secondary structure includes four short double-helical elements and three loops (D, anti-codon, and T loops). The record is from RNAcentral. RNAcentral also lists the same sequence under 2 other names. Lineage: Bacteria; Pseudomonadati; Pseudomonadota; Alphaproteobacteria; Rhodospirillales; Rhodospirillaceae.